GAUACUCUGUUUUAAGCUCUUUGAAUAUUUAUUAUAAUGCUAGCAAAUGCCACACAAUGAAAGGCGAAUUAAAAAUGUAUGUUGCGUUGAAUUACUAAGAACUCUUUAAUUUGAGCAGAAUAUAUUAACUCAACGACUCUUAAUUAAGCAAGAGGAACACUGUGCUAAGUGGAAUUGUACUUCGCCAAAAAGAGAAGGAGAAAUAAACUAAAUUUCAAAUGCUGGCGUUAUUUUAGCUAAGGAAACGCUGAUCGAAUGCUAUGCUGACGUGUUCAAAUUCAUUUAAUGCAAAUCAAAAUUCAAUCGAAAAUCAAUUUUCAAAUGGCAAAUGUGCGAACGGAGUGUACUCUGAACUUGGGGGGUCUGCCAAAUGUCUCAAUUUUAGUAGCAAAAAUAAAGACAUUGGCCGACACAGUAUUGCAGCAAGCGAUCAAAACUUGUUUUAAGCUGCACGUUGCACGUUGCACGAUGUCGAUGCCGCUUUUCACAAGAGAUGAGUUCAGACGAGAGACGAGAAUUGGGCGCGGCACUAAAAUGAGAAAGAUGCCGAAAUGCUAAAAGUGUCCAUUAAGCUGACCAUCAGCAUUGCCGUCGACAUCGACAUCGGCUGACUGACCAAAUGACAAAGCAAUUUCAUUUGGAAAACAUUAAAAAAAAAGACGACACAUGCACUUCAUGCACAUUGCUGUGUAGAAAGAUACCCUAUAUUCUUAUAUGUCAGCUGCAGAAACUCAAGGGUAUACAAGACCAUUUCCAUGUUUAGAUUCAUCUUGAGUAUAAGAUAUAAAUGUAGCCAAAUGUCGAGUGCCAGAUUGAUUACCCCGAAAUGUCAGCGGACAAUGUCUGGCCAUCUGUUGUGGUUACAGGGUAUACGCUCAAGUUUUUUAUUUGCCCGCCAGCUCGUAUAAUUAUGGAACACUUAGCGCUUGGCCAGACAACAAGCAAUUGCCAAAUGGUCGCUGUGGUCGAGAUACCGCAACAAAAAGCAAAACAUUUAAAUUAACCACGACUCACAACAACAUGAAAUGAAAUCAAAUACUGCACCGUUAAAUAAAAUGUAA
Molecule: long non-coding RNA, 1061 nt
Organism: Drosophila nasuta
Lineage: Eukaryota; Metazoa; Arthropoda; Insecta; Diptera; Drosophilidae
Exons: 5
Source: RefSeq, a predicted model, not a curated record